Molecule: ribosomal RNA, 302 nt
Filed under: uncultured Anaerolineaceae bacterium
Lineage: Bacteria; Bacillati; Chloroflexota; Anaerolineae; Anaerolineales; Anaerolineaceae
Description: bacterial SSU rRNA
Rfam family: Bacterial small subunit ribosomal RNA
Source: RNAcentral
GGUUUACGGUUAACGUCCGUACGUAACGAGCGACACCUCGCCGUAUGUUACAAGUGUCAUACGGGACUGCCGGUAAAAAAGCCGGGGGAAGGUGGGGAUGAUGUCAAGUCAGCAUGACCUUUAUAUCUAGGGCUACACACACGCUACAAUGGUCUGUACAAUGGGUAGCCAAGCCGCGAGGCGGAGCCAAUCCUAAAAAGCAGGCCUCAGUUCAGAUUGCAGUCUGCAACCCGACUGCAUGAAGCCGGAGUUGCUAGUAACCGCAGGUCAGCAAUACUGCGGUGAAUACGUUCCCGGGUCUU